Molecule: long non-coding RNA, 519 nt
Filed under: Hordeum vulgare
Lineage: Eukaryota; Viridiplantae; Streptophyta; Magnoliopsida; Poales; Poaceae
Description: long non-coding RNA (HVUL_LNC000689)
Source: RNAcentral
UUAUUUUGGGAAGGAGGAAGUAUAAGAUAAGACUUGGGAGCACUACAUAGGAACCUUUUUUUUUGAAAGCGUACAACCUAAAGCAUACGAUUACUUGCAUUCGUCUGAGUAGGAAAACAGUACAUACAUACAUAUAAGUUCGAAUGAACGCAAGGAUACAACGGUGUCAUCGUUGCCACCUAGUUACAUGAAAGACUCUCACUAAAUGAAAAUUACAGAAUAGUCCCACGAAUCAAUUGUCUUCCUCACGACCUCCCAACGUCCAAAUCCUCUGUUGAAGCCAACUCCAUAGAAGAAAAACAAUGAUGGCAAGGUCGAACCGUGGAGCUAGAACAGCCCCUAGCCAUAAGGCGUUGAUGAGCCGCAACAUCCACGGGCCCAUGAAGCUAGAUCUAAAUCUGAAUCUUCCACCAAUCGGAGGCAAAAUCCCUUGUGGACUUGCUCCCUGAGCUUCUUCCAUCCUGGAACUCACCGACGCACCAAGAGGCAGCCAAAUCCAUCUUCCUCUAGCCACAUACC